This 492-nucleotide ribosomal RNA is filed under the name uncultured bacterium. RNAcentral describes it as "partial 16S ribosomal RNA". It matches the Rfam family "Bacterial small subunit ribosomal RNA", at positions 28 to 507 of the family's 1533-position model. The record is from RNAcentral.
GGUGAACGCUGGCGGUAGGCCUAACACAUGCAAGUCGAACGGCAGCACAGUAAGAGCUUGCUCUUACGGGUGGCGAGUGGCGGACGGGUGAGGAAUACAUCGGAAUCUACUUUUUCGUGGGGGAUAACGUAGGGAAACUUACGCUAAUACCGCAUACGACCUACGGGUGAAAGCAGGGGAUCUUCGGACCUUGCGCGAUUGAAUGAGCCGAUGUCGGAUUAGCUAGUUGGCGGGGUAAAGGCCCACCAAGGCGACGAUCCGUAGCUGGUCUGAGAGGAUGAUCAACCACACUGGAACUGAAACACGGUCCAGACUCCUACGGGAGGCAGCGGUGGGGAAUAUUAGACAAUGGGGGCAAGCCUGAUCCAGCCAUACCGCGUGGGUGAAGAAGGCCUUCGGGUUGUAAAGCCCUUUUGUUGGGAAAGAAAAGCAGCAGGUUAAUACCCCGCUGUUCUGACGGUACCCAAAGAAUAAGCACCGGCUAACUUCGUG